UACGGAGGGUGCAAGCGUUGUUCGGAAUCAUUGGGCGUAAAGCGGGUGUAGGCGGCUUGGUAAGUCGGGUGUGAAAGCCCAGGGCUCAACCCUGGAAUUGCAUUCGAAACUGCCUCGCUAGAGUCCCGGAGAGGGUGGCGGAAUUCCCGGUGUAGAGGUGAAAUUCGUAGAUAUCGGGAGGAACACCAGUGGCGAAGGCGGCCACCUGGACGGUGACUGACGCUCAGACCCGAAAGCGUGGGGAGCAAACAGG
RNAcentral lists this ribosomal RNA (253 nucleotides) under uncultured bacterium. RNAcentral describes it as "partial 16S ribosomal RNA". It matches the Rfam family "Bacterial small subunit ribosomal RNA", at positions 524 to 776 of the family's 1533-position model. The record is from RNAcentral.